AGGGUGUUUCGCUGUGGCGGCUGCCUCUUCCCUCAGGUGCCUCAAAGGAACAAAGCGAGAAUGAGGGAAUAAGAAGCAAGGCUGCUACUUUCAGGAAAGAGUCCUUCUCUCAAACCGUGCCAUGUGAGAUAGGAACUUCUCCAUCCGCCUGUGGGUUCCAUGCCAUCAACUUUCAGCAGAACUUCCGCUGCAAUAUUCAAGGGAAGUGGGAUAUGUGAGGGCACGGGGUGGGAAGUUACCUUAGGGCUAAUUUUUAAAUCCUUUUUGUAUCCAAUAUGAAAUGCACCAUUUGCUAUUUUAGGGAUAUCAGAAUUACUUCUGUGCCCUGUGUUUUGAUGUCUAGAGAGAACCAUCCAGUUGAUCAAGGAUGACUAUAGGUUUAGUCUUGGAAGCAUCUUGACUGAUUCUCAAACAUCUGCUGGAAGUCGCUCAUAGAAGUUCCCACCAUGGCGCAUCAGGAUCAGUGGCAUCUUGGGGGCACUGGGUCACAGGUUUGAUCCCAGGCCUGGCACAGUGGGUUGAGGAUCUGGCGUUGCCACAGCUGCGGCUUAAGUCCUGACUAUGGGUUGGAUCUGAUUCCUGGCCCGGGAACUCCAUGUGCUGCAGGGUGGCCAAAAAUGGGAAAAGAAGAAGAAGAAGCAACUGCCUAUAAACUAAUUUUUCUGUUUUUUCUUGUUUUUCUGUUUUUUGUUUUUGUUUUUGUUUUGUUUUGUUUUGUUUUCCUGUUUAUUAAAGGCUCCCUCCUAAAAAGUAAUACUGGUUGUAUCCCCCCUAAAAAUAAUACGGGUUGUAUCUUGUCAGAGCAAAGAACAGUAAACAAGUCAGGGAUGCAUUUCUUCAAGGUUUAAAGAAAAAAAAAGAACAGACCAGCACGUACACAGCGAGUCAGAGUGGCCGUGGUCCCUGGGAAGGUGUCUUCUCAUCAGACUCCCAGCUGAGUGUCCCAGGAAGAGGGGCGUUUAAUCUCUACUUUUGACAUGAACAUUCCUUACUUCUGGUCAGUGUGCCCUUUUCUCUAGCAAUGAAAGCAGGUGUACAGUGCAUGUUUGCUAGGCCACAAACAGACUGCUUUAGUUGGCAUGAAGUCCAGGUUACCUCAUGUAUAAGCCAGGGUGACGUCCGCAGAUCUCCGCGUGUGAACAUGUCUUUUCUGAGUUGCAGGUGUCUGUUUUCAUUUCAUUUGGUAUUGGUUUGCAGAGAAAGAGGAGGUAAGAUAAAAGAGAUAGCAUUCCGUGAUUGGAUAUUUUGUUCUUGGCUGCAGCCACAGCAUGCAAAAGUUCCCAGGCUAGGGAUCGAACUCGUGCUGCAGCAGUGACCUGAGCCACAGCAGUAGAGACCUCCAGGCCCGUAAUCCCCUGAACCACCAGUGGACUCCCUGUGAUUGGAUAGUUUUUAAAAUUAGGAUUUUCAAAUAUGUCCAUUAGUGGAACAGUUCCUUCUGUCUUAAAAAGUCGGUGAAUAGAGAAAACGUGGGAAGUUCUUGCUUCUCCUUCAAGGCUCAAUCUUACAGUUUAUUUCUCAGGAAAACCUCUGGCCUUCCCGGUCCAGACAGGCCUAGCCGUCCUCAGCCCUCUGCAUUUGGCCUCAGCCCCUUAGGAUUAAUGGAAUAAGCCGUGUGUCUUGUGUAUCCGUGUUUUAUCACUACAGUAUGUCGUACGUUGUGUGUGGGGGAAGCAGAACAGACAACUUCACACUCGAGUGUGUAUCUUCCCUUCAGACUCCUUCCUUUGGUAGUUGUCGUGGGUCCUUUCCUUCCAAGCUUUCUGAAUAACUUUUACCUGUUCAAGUUCUUUCAAUCUUCCCAAUGGAUAAUCUUUUCAAACAAUCUGCAAACAAUAAAAAAUACUUUGGUGCCAAGAAGAGUAAAUAAAACAGAUACCCAGAGUGAGGGAUGUGGGAUUUGGUUUCCUAAAAAAAUAGUUGUCCUAAAAGUAAGGAAACUGAUUGUGUCCGGGUGUGUGUCAUCAGUGUGGGGUCCCUCUGGGAAUUACCUGUGGAGCAGAAGUGCGCUCAGCCAUGGCACGGCUGCUGAAAUAAAUGACGAGGUAAUUUUAGGGAAGGCAUAUUCUCUCUCUCUCUCUUUUUUUUUUAAAUCAGCACCCACGGCAUAUGGAGGUUCCCAGGCUAGGGGUCGCAUUGGAGCUGUAGCCGCUGGUCUACACCACAGCUCACAGCAAUGCCGGAUCCUUAACCCACUGAGCAAAGCCAGGGAUCGAACCCGCAACUCAUGGUUCCUAGUCGGAUUCGUUAACCACUGAGCCACGACGGGAACUCCCUAUAUUUUUGAUGUAUAGAAAACAGCGACAAGAGUAGCCCUCCAAACUCUGAACUGAUUUUUAAACAGUUUCUGUGUGCACAGGUGAAGCCACAAAGAUUGUGGUCAGAGCCAGAGCGCCCAGUCCCUCCAUGUCUCUUAAGAUGAUCUGGAGUUUUUGUGUUCUGCUUCCAAGGGCUUAGAGACUGCAGUUUAUGUGGAGAAUUUUGUGCAACUUUCUGUUUGUUACAGCGUUAUCAUCUUGCUUCUUAUUGGCUGUACAGAUAGAGUCAAUGCCUUCCUAAGGGGCGUUUCUCUUAAGAUAGGCCCUCUGCAUACUUGUCUCCUGUUACGGUCGUGAAUGGCUUUAAAGAGGGCCGGGAUGGUCUGGUUUGUCAAAAGAUGGCUUACAUCUGUCCUUUUCUGUGUUUUUAUUGUUUUCGAUAAUGGAGCCACAAGCAGACCUGAGGAGAAAAAUAACUUUGGAGUUCCUGUUGUGCAUCAGUGGGUUACGAGCCUGACAUAGUGUCGGCGAGGAUGAGAGUCUGAUCCCUGGCCUUGUUCAGUGGGUUAAGGAUGUGGCGUUGCUGUGAGUUUCGGCAUAGAUCACAGAUGCAACUUGGAUCCUGCAUUGCUGGGGCUGUGGCGUAGGCCUGCAGCUACAGCGCCCAUUCAACCCCUAGCUUGGGUACUUCUCUAAGCUGCAGGAGCAGCCCUAAAAAGAAGCAAACAAAAAAAAAAAACAAACAAAAAAAA
Molecule: long non-coding RNA, 3010 nt
Filed under: Sus scrofa (pig)
Lineage: Eukaryota; Metazoa; Chordata; Mammalia; Artiodactyla; Suidae
Description: lncRNA (ENSSSCG00015020044.1)
Source: RNAcentral